GGGGGCGUGGUGUAGCUUGGUCCAUCAUCGCGGGCUCCAGACCCGCGGACGUCAUCCGAUCCGACCGUUUUCAAAUCCCCGCGCCCCCACCA
This 92-nucleotide transfer RNA is filed under the name Thermococcus piezophilus. Its description in RNAcentral is "tRNA-Trp". The record is from RNAcentral. Lineage: Archaea; Methanobacteriati; Methanobacteriota; Thermococci; Thermococcales; Thermococcaceae.